RNAcentral lists this ribosomal RNA (382 nucleotides) under Thalassionema nitzschioides. RNAcentral's name for it is "partial Bacterial large subunit ribosomal RNA". It matches the Rfam family "Bacterial large subunit ribosomal RNA", at positions 1936 to 2329 of the family's 2925-position model. Lineage: Eukaryota; Bacillariophyta; Fragilariophyceae; Thalassionematales; Thalassionemataceae. The record is from RNAcentral.
GUAACUCUAACUGUCCUAAGGUAGCGAAAUUCCUUGUCGGGUAAGUUCCGACCUGCACGAAUGGUGCAACGAUCUGGACACUGUCUCAGCCAUGAGCUCGGUGAAAUUGUAGUAUCGGUGAAGAUGCCGAUUACCCGCAGUGGGACGAAAAGACCCCGUGAACCUUUACUAUAGCUUAGUAUUGGCUUUGGAUAAGUAAUGUGUAGGAUAGGUGGGAGACUUCGACCCUGCGUCGCCAGGCGUGGGUGAGUCAUUGUUGAAAUACCACCCUUUGCUUAUCUAGAGUCUAACCUCUGAUCAGGGACAGUGCUUGGUGGGUAGUUUGACUGGGGUGGUCGCCUCCAAAAGAGUAACGGAGGCUUCUAAAGGUUCCCUCAGCACG